This 503-nucleotide ribosomal RNA is filed under the name Macrobrachium superbum. RNAcentral describes it as "partial 16S ribosomal RNA". It matches the Rfam family "Bacterial large subunit ribosomal RNA", at positions 1930 to 2644 of the family's 2925-position model. Lineage: Eukaryota; Metazoa; Arthropoda; Malacostraca; Decapoda; Palaemonidae. The record is from RNAcentral.
CCCGCGGUAAUUUGACCGUGCGAAGGUAGCAUAGUCAGUAGUCUUUUAAUUGAAGGCUUGAAUGAAAGGUUGGACGAGGGAUGAGCUGUCUCCUUUAUGUAAUUUGAAUUUAACUUUUGAGUGAAAAGGCUCAAAUUAUUUAGUGGGACGAUAAGACCCUAUAAAACUUUAUAUAAGUUUAAUUUGGCUUACAAUUUGAGUGAAAAGUAGCUUUAUUAGGUUUAUAUUUCGUUGGGGAGAUGUAGAUAUAAUGUGUAACUGUCUAUUUAAUUUAAUAAUUAUAAUUAGUGUGUGAUCCUUCUUUGUGGAUUAAAAGUAUAAGUUACUUUAGGGAUAACAGCGUGAUUUUCUUUGAGAGUUCUUAUCGACAAGAGUAGUUGCGACCUCGAUGUUGAAUUAAAAUUUCAGUUAGGUGUAGCCGUCUAGCUGGUAGGUCUGUUCGACCUUUAAAAUUUUACAUGAUUUGAGUUCAAACCGGUGUGAGCCAGGUUGGUUUCUAUCUA